GGGAAGUUAAGGUGCUCAGGGUCUUACCGUCGGGCCGUAUGAUUCCACAUAUUCAUGGAUAAUUCUAUUUAUUAGGAGUCUCACACUAGCGACAAUGGGGAAGUCGUUACACCGUUCAUGCAGGACGGAGAUUACCCGACAAGGAAUUUUGCUACCUUAGGACCGUUUAUGAUACAGCCGCCGUUUAUC
Molecule: ribosomal RNA, 189 nt
Filed under: Plasmodium berghei
Lineage: Eukaryota; Apicomplexa; Aconoidasida; Haemosporida; Plasmodiidae
Description: LS7
Source: RNAcentral